RNAcentral lists this ribosomal RNA (253 nucleotides) under uncultured bacterium. RNAcentral describes it as "partial 16S ribosomal RNA". It matches the Rfam family "Bacterial small subunit ribosomal RNA", at positions 524 to 776 of the family's 1533-position model. The record is from RNAcentral.
UACGUAGGGUCCAAGCGUUAAUCGGAAUUACUGGGCGUAAAGCGUGCGCAGGCGGUUUUGUAAGACGGAUGUGAAAUCCCCGGGCUCAACCUGGGAACUGCAUUUGUGACUGCAUCGCUGGAGUGCGGCAGAGGGGGAUGGAAUUCCGCGUGUAGCAGUGAAAUGCGUAGAUAUGCGGAGGAACACCGAUGGCGAAGGCAAUCCCCUGGGCCUGCACUGACGCUCAUGCACGAAAGCGUGGGGAGCAAACAGG